Lynx canadensis (Canada lynx) is the source of this 769-nucleotide long non-coding RNA. RefSeq lists it as uncharacterized. The record is from RefSeq and is a predicted model, not a curated record. NCBI's taxonomy places the organism in Eukaryota, Metazoa, Chordata, Mammalia, Carnivora, Felidae. The transcript is spliced from 4 exons.
UUCAGAUCACUUUGUUCUUGUUUAGCCUUGAUCUCUGAUGUAUACUGUCUAUAGGGAAGGCAAGUUUCUAGUAUUCAACAUUUUUAGGUUUCACAUAUAAGUAAGAUCAGGAAGCAUUUUUCAUAAUAACAAAAAACUGGAAACAUUUCAAUGCCCAUCAACUGGUGAAUUGAUCAACAAGAUGUGGAGUAUCCAUGCAGUGAAAUACUACUCAGCAAGAAAAAGGUUGGUGUAUUUCUAAGUGUGAUUCCUGGACCACCUGCAAGAGACCCACCUUUUAAAAAUCAACUCCUGUGUUUCAAUCUGUCAAUAACAGAUUCCCGAGCCACACUGAAAUUCACAAAUCAGCUCUGCGCAACAGCUGCCAAAUGGAGCCUUUGUUCUGAGGGCCUUUUCUAAUGUCUUCACACCGAUCCUGUUUGUUUUCCUCAGCGGCAGCUCCUAACAAACCUGAAAACGUGUGGCCAUUAAGCCUCUAAAGGCAAGCUCAGUUGCCAGCUGCCAUUUACCCACAUUCGGUUCCUGGAAUGAAAAAGGAUACCUUUCUUCUGUCCUUUGGAAGGGAGCUAUUUUGGGUUAUGUGGGCAAAGGUGUCAGAAGCGCUCAGAUAACCUGGGUAUUCGUCAUAUUCUCACUAUCUGACCAUCACCCAGGCUUCAGCCCCCUCCCCCACCCCCAAGCCACUUUUGCUCUUUAAGGAUAUAGAGAUCUCACAUUUUGUCUCCUUGCCCGCACUGUCAUUCCAAUGCACCCCAGUUUCUGGAGCUGU